UUGUCCGGAAUUACUGGGUGUAAAGGGAGCGUAGGCGGGACGGUAAGUCAGGUGUGAAAUAUACGUGCUCAACAUGUAGACUGCACUUGAAACUGCUGUUCUUGAGUGAAGUAGAGGUAAGCGGAAUUCCUAGUGUAGCGGUGAAAUGCGUAGAUAUUAGGAGGAACAUCGGUGGCGAAGGCGGCUUACUGGGCUUUUACUGACGCUGAGGCUCGAAAGCGUGGGGAGCAAACAGGAUUAGAUACCCUGGUAGUCCACGCUGUAAACGAUGAUUACUAGGUGUGGGGGGACUGACCCCUUCCGUGCCGCAGUUAACACAAUAAGUAAUCCACCUGGGGAGUACGACCGCAAGGUUGAAACUCAA
RNAcentral lists this ribosomal RNA (364 nucleotides) under uncultured bacterium. Its description in RNAcentral is "bacterial SSU rRNA". It matches the Rfam family "Bacterial small subunit ribosomal RNA", at positions 541 to 904 of the family's 1533-position model. The record is from RNAcentral.